RNAcentral lists this ribosomal RNA (514 nucleotides) under Ceratitis colae. RNAcentral describes it as "partial 16S ribosomal RNA". The stretch from base 390 to 514 matches the Rfam family "Bacterial large subunit ribosomal RNA", at positions 2473 to 2597 of the family's 2925-position model. The record is from RNAcentral. Lineage: Eukaryota; Metazoa; Arthropoda; Insecta; Diptera; Tephritidae.
GUCUUUUUGAGUUAUUUUAAAAGUCUGACCUGCCCACUGAAUAUUUUAAAUGGCCGCAGUAUUCUAACUGUGCAAAGGUAGCAUAAUCAUUAGUCUUUUAAUUGAAGGCUGGUAUGAACGGUUGGACGAAGUAUAAGCUGUUUCAUAUAAAAUUGUAUUAGAAUUUUAUAUUUUAGUUAAAAAGCUAAAAUAUUAUUAAAAGACGAGAAGACCCUAUAAAUCUUUAUAUUUAAUAUUAUUCAAAUUUUUUUGAUUAAUUUUAUUUUUAUUAUAUUAAAUAUUUUGUUGGGGUGAUAUUAAAAUUUAACAAACUUUUAAUUGUGAAUUAAAACAUUAAUUUAUGAAUAAUUGAUCCAUUAUUAGUGAUUAUAAGAUUAAGUUACUUUAGGGAUAACAGCGUAAUUUUUUUUGAGAGUUCAUAUCGACAAAAAAGUUUGCGACCUCGAUGUUGGAUUAAGAUAUAUAUUUAGGUGUAGCUGUUUAAAUAUUAAGUCUGUUCGACUUUUAAAUUCUU